This 2390-nucleotide long non-coding RNA is filed under the name Oryza sativa (Asian cultivated rice). RNAcentral's name for it is "long non-coding RNA (OSAT_LNC001114)". The record is from RNAcentral. Lineage: Eukaryota; Viridiplantae; Streptophyta; Magnoliopsida; Poales; Poaceae.
UUCCAGCAGAGACAGAUGAUGCGUGAGUGCAUCCUGUUAUCCAGCCAAGGAAGGCUGUGUAUUCUUGUGAGCUGUGAAGUGGUUUUCAGCUCCUCUGCCCCCCAUUCACAUCAUCCUCCAAGUGGCAUGAAGACUGACAUAAUUUCUGGAGACUCUAGCAGCAAUCCUGCAGCAACAGAACUGCAAUUACGGCACAAAUGAUAGUAUUAUCAUGGAAUAAUUCAGUCCAAUCGAAAAUCUGAGAGAAAAACGGGAGAGGUCUCCACAGGAGCAUUGGCUCUAGGAAUCAGGUGUGGUCCUGGAGGUGCCUGAUUCCCAGACCGCCCUGGCACUUCGGCACACAUAAGACGGUCCUAAGCUAUUAAGGGCCUGUUUGAGGAAGCUUCUAACUGCUGCAGUUUCUCCCAGAAUCAAAACCCCCCUCUCUCAAACAGUCCAGUUUUUUUUAGAUUCUGAGAAGUUGUAGCUGUAUAAUAUAGAAAAUGAACUUAGCUGCGAAACCCAAUUUUUCCAUAUUAUCGGAAGCUGGCUAUCAACUAGCUUCUUCUUAAAAUUUUAAGCUCCCCAUGUUAUGUGGGGCAUUCAGUACCAGCGCCAGAACCGUCGCCAGCAGCCAGAGCAGGCGCCAUGAGGAUUGGAUCAAGUUUGUUAUGAUUAGUUUCAGUUGAUUAAGUUUGUUAGGAAGAUUAAGUUUGUUAGUUCCUUGUUAGUAGCUGUUUGGUUUCCAUUGUAAGGCUACAUAGGCCAUUCGGUUUGAGUAAUGAAUCAAGAAAGAAGUAAUCUCAGUUCCUGUUAGUUUCCACCACCCCUCCCGUCGAGCACAGCUACGCGCUGUGCCAUUUAGGGCCGGCGCCUAACACCCCAAAAUAGGCCCUAAGCAUCGUGCCCCUGAGCUUUUCUCUUCACCUGACCACAGGAAGGCAAGCCUUCCUUCUUUUGUCGAUCGCGUCAGAUCACUCCCUGAGGAAGCUGCAUGGUUGUCAUUACAUAUACAGGCAGGCUAUCAAGCACCGAGUUAACCAGAACCCCCUCUUCCUGCAUAAUUCAUGAAAAGAGCUUGCCAUCCCUCCAGGUAGAUAUUAAUUCUCGCAAUCAGUGGUUGUAGUUCAGCAAAAUUCAGUUUGGAGCUGGACAACGGAAGCCCGAGACUAGAGUACACCUGGGGGAAAUUUUUCUACUUUGCAGUGGAGGAUUGCUGCUACUGCUAGAGCUUGAGUUUCAGCACUAUCUUGUGGAAGCCUGGAGUUCCUGCUGUAGCCUGUUAGCCAUUGCUUUGGCUGUGAUCUUGAUGGAGCAAAUCUGUAGCCGGAGGGACUAGCAUAAUAUGAUGAGGAUCAGGUAUUGUGGAAGGGACUGAUGCCGUGAAACCCUAGAGUUGUUGAUUCAAAGAACAAACACAUGAACAUCAUGGUUAGUGAAGCCUGCAUUUCUGAUGUUGAAAUCUGUGCUAAUUGCUGGAUUGACAACUACGAAUGUAUAAACAUCAUUGUCUAAAAAAAAUGAAUGUAUAAACAUCAAACAAGCCAAACUUGUCACUUCAAAACGGGAGUAUACAUAUCAUAUCGCAAAAUAAAUACAGUGCAUAGAUUAUCUCACUUUGUGAUCGAAUUGUCACUGAUAACAGCGGAUGAGCUUCUGAACAUCUGCCAGAGGACCUAAACAUUCUGGUUGCAUGAAGUCCCUUUUCUGGAUUCCAAGAUCCAAAGUUCCAAACCACUGGCAAUCCAAUUUCCAUAUUGAUGAUAUCUAUAUUUUUUUCAAUGAAGAUUUGGUAUCCAUACAACCCUACUUGCAUCGGUAAGCAACAGAACUGCAUGCAAAAGUAAGUUCAGGUUCUAACCCAGUGGAGAAAACAAUUAAACUAAUUCAUGUAAGCAAAGAUGCGAGAGCUGAGGGAAAAGUAAAGAAAACUUAGCCUACGUUUAUCCCAACUCCCAAGUAGUGUCAAUUGAAGGUGGCAUCAGGGAUCAAUUUAUAGUAAAGCGGAGGUCUAUGUAGUCACUUCUUGCCCUAGCAAUAAAACUAUGAACAAGCUGUGGCAUACUUUGAAGCUCAAUUGCUUACCUGACAAAAAGGCAUUAGAGAGCAAUAAGUAAGCCGGCAGAACAUCACAAACCACUAGUAAAAAUACUGUCAAUGCUGCUCACAACAGAAACAGAGGUACCUAGUCACAGAUGGCUUAUAAACCGUAUGUUAUAUAGUCAGAGAUUUUUUUUUUCAUUCUGAACCGUUGACUAUUAUCAGUAACAGAUAUAGUAGGACGCUACACAAAACCAUAUGUGAUGACCCCUCCUCUGCCUGGUGGUGUAUGCAGGCCAAUCAGUGAAAAUAAUACCGCAAGCAGACAGCCUGCAAGCUGGACUCACUGGUUCAGUUCCAGGAAAAUGUUG